RNAcentral lists this long non-coding RNA (2828 nucleotides) under Oreochromis niloticus (Nile tilapia). Its description in RNAcentral is "lncRNA (ENSONIG00000028393.1)". The record is from RNAcentral. Lineage: Eukaryota; Metazoa; Chordata; Actinopteri; Cichliformes; Cichlidae.
AACUGCAAGUCGUCGUCAAACAUGGACAGACUUCACAUCAUUUUUGUCCUUUUUUUAGGUAAUAUUUUGGAAGGAGCCUUUUAUGAAACAUUUAUUUUAUGUAACAUUUACCUAUUCUACUGAUUUUAUUUGACAUCACCUACAUUAACUUCUGUACUCGAUAAUUACAAUUAUGUAGUACAAUGUGAAAGAUUGGCAAAAUUUAACAUUGUGUUUGUAUUUCAGGAGGUGAUUGGAUUUCUGGAUCAGUGGUGGAUCUGACAGUGAGAUCUGGAGAAAACAUAACUCUGUAUUGUGACCGUACCACACCAUCUGAGGAAUAUAUUGUGUGGUACAGAAAUUGUACCCAUGAAAAUCAGCCUCCUCUUGUCUUAAAACAAACAAAGGAUUCAUGGAAACCCAUCUGUAACCGAGCAACUUUAGUGAAUUCUCUACCUCGCUUCCACUUUGUAAACAACCAGUCCUCUGGAUCGUAUGACCUGCUGAUUGUGAAUAUUUCUGAUUCUGAUGAGGGCCUCUAUUACUGUGGAACUGAGCAGAAACAGCUAAAGGAUAAAAAGGAUAUUAACCUUGAAUUUGUUCAGAGUUAUGGCAGUGUGGCGACAAGGAUUAAAAUCAACUCCAGUGAUCCACAUUCUUCAACUUUAACUGAUCAAACAUCUCCACAAGAUUGCGGCAUGUGUUGGAAACUGCUCUUCAUCCUGUGUCCAACUUUUGCAGCUCUCUCCUCUCUUCUUGUAUCUCUUCUUGUUCAUUACCUCUGCCAGAAAACAGAAGUCGAUCAACAAAGACCAGAAAUCAGUGGGCAAACAAGAAGAACUCAGGUAAAUUACAUUAAUAUUCAAUCCAUAUUUUUUCAGCACUUGUCAUAAUUAAUUCUAACAAAAUGAAUCAUUUAUAGAAAACCAAUCAUAUUCAUAAUUACAAACAACAAAUUCAUUCACAGGAUGAAGAUGUGCUUUAUGCUACAGUGCAAACACGUCAAGCAACACAGAGAUCAAAGAAGAAGAUAACCUAUAGUUCUGACUUCUGCACCUAUUCUACUGUCAAGACCUCUGGGGUCUAGAUUUUACAUUCAAAAGUGCAUUAUGAAUCAGAAGUGAUUAAGUUUUUUGUUUUUCCAUUUUUCCUCUACCUACCAAGAUUAGUAAUAAUUAAAAUUGUCCAUUUCUUCUUCAGUGAGAUGCUUGUUUUCGAUGAUAUUUAAAGGUAUAUAGCCAGACAUUUUUUGAAGUUAUUUAAUGCAAAAAAUAUUGUUCUUGUAAAUUCCGACAGACUGAUGUAUCAUCAUUAAUCCAUUAAAAAUACAUAUGAAAAUACAUGAGUGCUUGUAAAAGCUCCUAUGUUGCCCUGCCAUCGUGAAUAGUGCCUGUGAUGAAAAUCACCUUUCUGCCUAAUCACAUUUUAUGUAUGUGGCUAGAGACUGGUCUCAUGUGUUGUAUGCCAAAAACAGAAGACAGGACCACUCAUAGGCAUUUGUGUGGAGACAAAUUUCAAUUUCUGCUUGCUUCAUCACGUCUGUGUUUUUUCAUUUGAGAAGGGGUCCCCUUCAUCAAAGAAGCAAAUACACAAAGAAAAGAGACAACAUGACCAACACUGGGAUAAAGAGAAAGUAAAUACUGGCGCCAGUGAUACUGAAGUUGCCUGCUUUCUCCUUUAGGUCUCAAACCAGGGAUCUUGGUUGUUACAUGACUGUUUAAACCACUUCAUGCAGCCCCUAUAACUGUAUAUAACACAAUGGAAGUAGACACUCACUUACUUCAUUAGGAUUUUCCCAUCUCUAGGGUUUACGUCUUCGGUACCUAAGUACUAAUGUAUGGCUCAUGGCAUUAUUAAAUAUCUUUCCAUUUGAUACAUAAACCUAUAAUUUAUUUACAAUUCCACUAUUCAUUCACUCUCACAUUCACACACUGGUGGAGGCAAGCUACAGUUGUAGCCACAGCUGCCCUGGGGGAGACUGCAAGCGAGGCUGUCAUAUCGCGCCAACACCAGUAGGCGGUAGGGUAAAGUGUCUUGCCCGAGGACACAACGACCAGGACAGAGAGCCUGGGGAUCGAACCUGCGACCUUCCAGUUACAGAUGCGCUUCCCAACCCCCUGCAUUUUCCCGAGUUGAGUGGGAACAUUUCUCCAAGUGGUAAAGACGGCCACACGAAGGGCAUCUAUGUCUGGAACUGUUGCCCAUUUUUGUAAACUUCCCUUGCCAUCCAUCCCCAAAGGUUUUCAAUUGGAUUUAGAUCAGGGUAACAUGCAGGAUGCUCCAAGAGACUGAUGUUAUUCUCUUGGAAGAACUGCUUUGUUCUGCAGGCAUUGAGUAAUGUAGCGUUGUCCUGUUGAAAAACCCAGUCGUUACCACACAGACGAAGGCCCUCAGUCAUGAGGAAUUGUCUCUGCAACAUCUGGACAUAGCCAGCGGCCGCUUGACACCCCUGCACCUCCUGAAGCUCCAGUGUUCCACUGAAGGAAAAAGCACCCCAGACCAUUAUGGCCCCGCCUCCACUGUGGCACGUAGAAAACAUCUCAGGUGGGAUCUGCUUGUCAUGCCAAUAAAGUUAGAAACCAUCAUGGCCAUCAAGGUUAAAUGUUUUCUUAUCAGAGAGUAAAACUUUCUUCCACCUUUCAAUGUCCCAUAUUUGGUGCUCUCUUGCAAAGUCCAAAUGGUCAGUUCUGUGGCAUUCAAGGAGGCGAGGCUUUUGAAGACGUUUUUUUUAUUUUUGAAGCCCUUCAGUCUCAGAUGUGUAGGAUUUGUAGGAUUUGCCACCAUGCAUCAAAGGUCAGUGUUAGAGCAAGAGAAGUGUUUCUCAUUGUAACAAGGUUACAAAAAUAUGA